GGCUUAGUUGAAUUGAGUUGAGUACUUUGUUUUAGUAUUCAGUUGGAAGUUGGAAUUCUAUUUGCAUAUUUAAUGAUGCCAUUUAUGUCUGUAACAUAGCUUUAAUUCACAUUUUAUUUAAUUUUUCAACUUUUCUCUGAAUUCGAAAUUAAUAAAAGGGUGAAUAAAGUUCAUGUUCCAUUAGAUUUUUGGAAUUAAUUAUCAGAUUGAUUUCCAUUUUUUACCCAAACUUUGAGGUUGGGUCAUUUAGCUUUCAACACUUAACUUUGGAACUUGAUUUUUUCUAUUGGGCUGACCUUUUUCUUUUUUCUAUUAACUAAAUUUUGGUCCUUCAAUUUCAGUCAGUUUUUAGACUGAGGACUUAUAAAUUAGGAUCUGAAUUCUCACGCUAGAGUUACAUCUUACUGUAAAAUUUAGUGAAUUGUUUCAUUUAACUAUAGGUAUUUCUCUAGUAGAAAAUGCUGAUUUUUAUGUUUGUCACCAGCUAAUAAUAUAAAUUUGGUGUACUGCACUUAUGAAAUAUCAUUCCAGCAGGUAACAGUGCUACCGGCGCUAUU
This 557-nucleotide unclassified non-coding RNA is filed under the name Hevea brasiliensis (rubber tree). The record is from RNAcentral. Lineage: Eukaryota; Viridiplantae; Streptophyta; Magnoliopsida; Malpighiales; Euphorbiaceae.